This 665-nucleotide ribosomal RNA is filed under the name Rhizopus sp. RNAcentral's name for it is "partial large subunit ribosomal RNA". It matches the Rfam family "Eukaryotic large subunit ribosomal RNA", at positions 86 to 648 of the family's 3401-position model. The record is from RNAcentral. Lineage: Eukaryota; Fungi; Mucoromycota; Mucoromycetes; Mucorales; Rhizopodaceae.
ACGGCGAGUGAAGAGGAAAGAGCUCAAAGUUGGAACCUGUUUGGCCUAGCUAAACUGGAUUGUAAACUGUAGAAGUGUUUUCCAGGCAAUCCGAAUUGAAAAGUCCUUUGGAACAGGGCAUCAUAGAGGGUGAGAAUCCCGUCUUUGAUUCGAGAUAAUUUUGUCUUUAUGCGAUACACUUUCAAAGAGUCAGGUUGUUUGGGAAUGCAGCCUAAAUUGGGUGGUAAAUCUCACCUAAAGCUAAAUAUUGGCGAGAAACCGAUAGCGAACAAGUACCGUGAGGGAAAGAUGAAAAGAACUUUGAAAAGAGAGUUAAACAGUAUGUGAAAUUGUUAAAAGGGAACCGUUUGGAGCCAGAUUGGCUUGUCUGUAAUCAUUCUAGGCUUCGUGCCUGGAUGCACUUGCAGGCUUGAUGCCUGCCAACGACAAUUUUGUUUGGGUGUAAAAACUAUUGGAAAUGUGGCCAAUAUUUAUUUAUUGGUGUUAUAGUCCUUUAGAAAAUAGCCUGGAUGGGAUUGAGGAACGCAGUGAAUGCUUCUUUAGGGAGGCAAAGUCAUUUAUAGGGAUUUUCGGAUCAGACUGUAGCAUUGUUGCAAGACUUGAUGUUUAAACCUAUUUAUGCUCUUUUAUUCACUUAGGUUGUUGGCUUAAUGACUCUAAAUGAC